Molecule: transfer RNA, 71 nt
Filed under: Cricetulus griseus (Chinese hamster)
Lineage: Eukaryota; Metazoa; Chordata; Mammalia; Rodentia; Cricetidae
Rfam family: tRNA
About the family: Transfer RNA (tRNA) molecules are approximately 80 nucleotides in length.
Source: Rfam by way of RNAcentral
GGAGAUGUGGCUUAGUGGUUAAGCAUACUUUCAGCUCUUCUAGAAGAUCUAGGUUCAAUUCCUAGCAUCCA